CCUACGGGGGACAGCAGUGGGGAAUAUUGCACAAUGGGGGAAACCCUGAUGCAGCGACGCCGCGUGAGUGAAGAAGUAUCUCGGUACGUAAAGCUCUAUCAGCAGGGAAGAAAAUGACGGUACCUUACUAAGAAGCCCCGGCUAACUACGUGCCAGCAGCCGCGGUAAUACGUAGGGGGCAAGCGUUAUCCGGAUUUACUGGGUGUAAAGGGAGCGUAGACGGCAGCACAAGUCUGGAGUGAAAUCCCGGGGCGUAACCCCCGAACUUCUUUGGAAACUGGACGGCUGGAGUGCAGGAGGGGUAAGCGGAAUUCCUAGUGUAGCGGUGAAAUGCGUAGAUAUUAGGAGGAACACCGGUGGCGAAGGCGGCUUACUGGACUGUAACUGACGUUGAGGCUCGAAAGCGUGGGGAGCAAACAGGAUUAGAUACCCUAGUAGUC
RNAcentral lists this ribosomal RNA (440 nucleotides) under uncultured bacterium. Its description in RNAcentral is "partial 16S ribosomal RNA". It matches the Rfam family "Bacterial small subunit ribosomal RNA", at positions 338 to 795 of the family's 1533-position model. The record is from RNAcentral.